CUUGUUGGUGGGGUAACGGCCUACCAAGGUGAUGAUACGUAGCCGAACUGAGAGGUUGAUCGGCCACAUUGGGACUGAGACACGGCCCAAACUCCUACGGGAGGCAGCAGUAGGGAAUCUUCCACAAUGGACGAAAGUCUGAUGGAGCAACGCCGCGUGAAUGAAGAAGGCCUUCGGGUCGUAAAAUUCUGUUGUCAGAGAAGAAUGUGCGUGAGAGUAACUGUUCACGUAUUGACGGUAUCUGACCAGAAAGCCACGGCUAACUACGUGCCAGCAGCCGCGGUAAUACGUAGGUGGCAAGCGUUGUCCGGAUUUAUUGGGCGUAAAGGGAACGCAGGCGGUCUUUUAAGUCUGAUGUGAAAGCCUUCGGCUUAACCGAAGUAGUGCAUUGGAAACUGGAAGACUUGAGUGCAGAAGAGGAGAGUGGAACUCCAUGUGUAGCGGUGAAAUGCGUAGAUAUAUGGAAGAACACCAGUGGCGAAAGCGGCUCUCUGGUCUGUAACUGACGCUGAGGUUCGAAAGCGUGGGUAGCAAACAGGAUUAGAUACCCUGGUAGUCCACGCCGUAAACGAUGAGUGCUAAGUGUUGGAGGGUUUCCGCCCUUCAGUGCUGCAGCUAACGCAUUAAGCACUCCGCCUGGGGAGUACGGUCGCAAGACUGAAACUCAAAGGAAUUGACGGGGGCCCGCACAAGCGGUGGAGCAUGUGGUUUAAUUCGAAGCAACGCGAAGAACCUUACCAGGUCUUGACAUCUUCUGACAAUUCCAGAGAUGGAACGUUCCCUUCGGGGACAGAAUGACAGGUGGUGCAUGGUUGUCGUCAGCUCGUGUCGUGAGAUGUUGGGUUAAGUCCCGCAACGAGCGCAACCCUUAUUGUCAGUUGCCAUCAUUAAGUUGGGCACUCUGGCGAGACUGCCGGUGACAAACCGGAGGAAGGUGGGGAUGACGUCAAAUCAUCAUGCCCCUUAUGACCUGGGCUACACACGUGCUACAAUGGACGGUACAACGAGUCGCUAACUCGCGAGGGCAAGCUAAUCUCUUAAAGCCGUUCUCAGUUCGGAUUGCAGGCUGCAACUCGCCUGCAUGAAGUCGGAAUCGCUAGUAAUCGCGAAUCAGCAUGUCGCGGUGAAUACGUUCCCGGGCCUUGUACACACCGCCCGUCACACCAUGAGAGUUUGUAACACCCAAAGUCGGUGGGGUAACCUUUUGGAGCCAGCCGCCUAAGGUGGGACAGAUGAUUGGGGUGAAGUCGGAACAAGGUA
Molecule: ribosomal RNA, 1260 nt
Filed under: metagenome
Description: bacterial SSU rRNA
Rfam family: Bacterial small subunit ribosomal RNA
Source: RNAcentral